UUAUCAACUUGUAUAAAAUGCCCAACCCUAAAUUAACCCCUCCUCAUUCCCACUUUGAAAUGCUGCCACUGUGAGAGAAAUCUUAAAGCUAUGCCACUACAAUCUCCUCUGUCACGAUCUCUCCUCCGACAACAAUCCUCUCCAGCGACGACCUCCUCUGGCGAAGUCUCCUCCAGCGGUGACCUCCUCUUGCAACGUCUUCUUCAACGGCGAUAUUCUCCUGCGAUGAUCUCCUCCUGCUAGCGGCGUCUCCUCGAGCGACGGUCUCCUCCGACAACAUCUCCUCCAGUAGCGACCUCCUUCUGCAACGUCUUCUCCAGUGAUGGUCUCCUUCGGUAGACUCACGAAACUUUAACAACUAUUUCAGGCUUUAAUCUAUGUCCCGCAUAUUAGAACACUCGGAGAUGCUCUUAUAAAUCGACUGCGAUAUCCUCAACAAGCUGAUGGAGAAAUGAACCCCAACUACAUGUGAGAUUGUACUAUGUGUCUCUUAUUUUAAUUUGUAUCAAAAUGCAUUGAUUAAGAAUAGAUGUACAGAAAAUGACUAGAUAAAAGGAAUUGAAUGGUGGGAACAUAUAUAUAUAUGAUAAGGUGCAGCAGUGUUUUCUCAACCAGGGAGGCACAUCAGAAUUGAAUAAUAACGAUUUUUCUCUAUACCAAAAAGAUUUUCUAAAACGAGAAAAAGAGAAAAGAAGAAACUUAAUUGGGAUGGUAAUCUAAUUAUGGAUUAGAGGAUUCUUCUUAAUUGUUUUGCUGUUAUUAUUAUAUCUCUAUGGUGUAAACUAAGUAAUACAUACAAAACAUGGUUAUUAUUAAUAGAACACCACCACUCUACAAAUAAAGCUCCUCCCCACCCACUACUACCUCAUACCAACCAAUUUCUACUCUUCCCGUAGGGUAAGAUCUUCCACUCAUCUAACUUCUUAAUUACUUUCUUGUUUUCUAUAUAUAUAAUCUUUUGAUUUGAUGGUACUUUAUCUUCAACUCUGUUUCAGAUAGUGGAUCCAUCAAACUAUAUCUAGUUGGAAGUGGAAGAAGCGGAAUAUAAAAAGAUUGGUAGUUUUUGUGUAUAUGUAUGAGAGUAAGUCAAAGGUUGUUGUGUUAAGGGAGGAGAAGCAUAUAAGAAUAUAUAUGGGGCAGCAAUCUAGCAAGAAUGCAUCUCUUACUAUAGGAAUGUGCUCACAAGGCCAGUGGGAAAAAGUUACCAAGGGUUCUUGGGUUUGAUCAAUGUCUCCUUUUGACCACAAGCUCUUAAAUAUAAGGACUACUAGCUCAACACUGGAAAAUUUUGAGGUGUCUGUCGAAGAAGGUACAAGGAUGUAUGCGUAGCAGGAUUGUUUCUUCAAUUUGAUGAAAGUCAAACUUUGUUUCUUCCAUUUCAUUGCUCAUGAUUGUGCUGUAAUUUAUAGCUCCCCUGUCCAAUGUCCCUUUUACUUUUAAUAUUCUCUCUUUAAUUGCAUAUAUAUUGUAACUA
Non-coding RNA from Arachis ipaensis, 1474 nucleotides. The record is from RefSeq and is a predicted model, not a curated record. NCBI's taxonomy places the organism in Eukaryota, Viridiplantae, Streptophyta, Magnoliopsida, Fabales, Fabaceae.